AUCCAGCUGACGUGUGUCAGAUAUGACGAGACGCGCGUCAUACUGGAU
RNAcentral lists this non-coding RNA (48 nucleotides) under Schistosoma bovis. RNAcentral also lists the same sequence under 1 other name. Lineage: Eukaryota; Metazoa; Platyhelminthes; Trematoda; Strigeidida; Schistosomatidae. The record is from RNAcentral.